Molecule: ribosomal RNA, 239 nt
Filed under: uncultured bacterium
Lineage: Bacteria
Description: partial 16S ribosomal RNA
Rfam family: Bacterial small subunit ribosomal RNA
Source: RNAcentral
CCGGCAAACGGGUGCGGAACACGUACGCAACCUUCCUUUAACUGGAGAAUAGCCCCUCGAAAGAGGGAUUAAUACUCCGUAACAUAUUGAUAAGGCAUCUUAUUAAUAUUAUAGCUCCGGCGGUUAAAGAUGGGCGUGCGCCUGAUUAGAUAGUUGGCGGGGUAACGGCCCACCAAGUCUGCGAUCAGUAACUGGUGUGAGAGCACGACCAGUCACACGGGCACUGAGACACGGGCCCG